GUAGGGCGGGACACGUGGUAUCCUGUCUGAAUAUGGGGGGACCAUCCUCCAAGGCUAAAUACUCCUGACUGACCGAUAGUGAACCAGUACCGUGAGGGAAAGGCGAAAAGAACCCCGGCGAGGGGAGUGAAAAAGAACCUGAAACCGUGUACGUACAAGCAGUGGGAGCCUCUUUAUGGGGUGACUGCGUACCUUUUGUAUAAUGGGUCAGCGACUUAUAUUCUGUAGCAAGGUUAACCGAAUAGGGGAGCCGAAGGGAAACCGAGUCUUAACUGGGCGUUAAGUUGCAGGGUAUAGACCCGAAACCCGGUGAUCUAGCCAUGGGCAGGUUGAAGGUUGGGUAACACUAACUGGAGGACCGAACCGACUAAUGUUGAAAAAUUAGCGGAUGACUUGUGGCUGGGGGUGAAAGGCCAAUCAAACCGGGAGAUAGCUGGUUCUCCCCGAAAGCUAUUUAGGUAGCGCCUCGUGAAUUCAUCUCCGGGGGUAGAGCACUGUUUCGGCAAGGGGGUCAUCCCGACUUACCAACCCGAUGCAAACUGCGAAUACCGGAGAAUGUUAUCACGGGAGACACACGGCGGGUGCUAACGUCCGUCGUGAAGAGGGAAACAACCCAGACCGCCAGCUAAGGUCCCAAAGUCAUGGUUAAGUGGGAAACGAUGUGGGAAGGCCCAGACAGCCAGGAUGUUGGCUUAGAAGCAGCCAUCAUUUAAAGAAAGCGUAAUAGCUCACUGGUCGAGUCGGCCUGCGCGGAAGAUGUAACGGGGCUAAACCAUGCACCGAAGCUGCGGCAGCGACACUAUGUGUUGUUGGGUAGGGGAGCGUUCUGUAAGCCUGUGAAGGUGGCCUGUGAGGGUUGCUGGAGGUAUCAGAAGUGCGAAUGCUGACAUAAGUAACGAUAAAGCGGGUGAAAAGCCCGCUCGCCGGAAGACCAAGGGUUCCUGUCCAACGUUAAUCGGGGCAGGGUGAGUCGACCCCUAAGGCGAGGCCGAAAGGCGUAGUCGAUGGGAAACAGGUUAAUAUUCCUGUACUUGGUGUUACUGCGAAGGGGGGACGGAGAAGGCUAUGUUGGCCGGGCGACGGUUGUCCCGGUUUAAGCGUGUAGGCUGGUUUUCCAGGCAAAUCCGGAAAACCAAGGCUGAGGCGUGAUGACGAGGCACUACGGUGCUGAAGCGACAAAUGCCCUGCUUCCAGGAAAAGCCUCUAAGCAUCAGGUAACAUCAAAUCGUACCCCAAACCGACACAGGUGGUCAGGUAGAGAAUACCAAGGCGCUUGAGAGAACUCGGGUGAAGGAACUAGGCAAAAUGGUGCCGUAACUUCGGGAGAAGGCACGCUGAUAUGUAGGUGAAGCGACUUGCUCGUGGAGCUGAAAUCAGUCGAAGAUACCAGCUGGCUGCAACUGUUUAUUAAAAACACAGCACUGUGCAAACACGAAAGUGGACGUAUACGGUGUGACGCCUGCCCGGUGCCGGAAGGUUAAUUGAUGGGGUUAGCGGUAACGCGAAGCUCUUGAUCGAAGCCCCGGUAAACGGCGGCCGUAACUAUAACGGUCCUAAGGUAGCGAAAUUCCUUGUCGGGUAAGUUCCGACCUGCACGAAUGGCGUAAUGAUGGCCAGGCUGUCUCCACCCGAGACUCAGUGAAAUUGAACUCGCUGUGAAGAUGCAGUGUACCCGCGGCAAGACGGAAAGACCCCGUGAACCUUUACUAUAGCUUGACACUGAACAUUGAGCCUUGAUGUGUAGGAUAGGUGGGAGGCUUUGAAGUGUGGACGCCAGUCUGCAUGGAGCCGACCUUGAAAUACCACCCUUUAAUGUUUGAUGUUCUAACGUUGGCCCGUAAUCCGGGUUGCGGACAGUGUCUGGUGGGUAGUUUGACUGGGGCGGUCUCCUCCUAAAGAGUAACGGAGGAGCACGAAGGUUGGCUAAUCCUGGUCGGACAUCAGGAGGUUAGUGCAAUGGCAUAAGCCAGCUUGACUGCGAGCGUGACGGCGCGAGCAGGUGCGAAAGCAGGUCAUAGUGAUCCGGUGGUUCUGAAUGGAAGGGCCAUCGCUCAACGGAUAAAAGGUACUCCGGGGAUAACAGGCUGAUACCGCCCAAGAGUUCAUAUCGACGGCGGUGUUUGGCACCUCGAUGUCGGCUCAUCACAUCCUGGGGCUGAAGUAGGUCCCAAGGGUAUGGCUGUUCGCCAUUUAAAGUGGUACGCGAGCUGGGUUUAGAACGUCGUGAGACAGUUCGGUCCCUAUCUGCCGUGGGCGCUGGAGAACUGAGGGGGGCUGCUCCUAGUACGAGAGGACCGGAGUGGACGCAUCACUGGUGUUCGGGUUGUCAUGCCAAUGGCACUGCCCGGUAGCUAAAUGCGGAAGAGAUAAGUGCUGAAAGCAUCUAAGCACGAAACUUGC
This 2400-nucleotide ribosomal RNA is filed under the name Escherichia coli. RNAcentral's name for it is "partial 23S ribosomal RNA". It matches the Rfam family "Bacterial large subunit ribosomal RNA", at positions 412 to 2797 of the family's 2925-position model. Lineage: Bacteria; Pseudomonadati; Pseudomonadota; Gammaproteobacteria; Enterobacterales; Enterobacteriaceae. The record is from RNAcentral.